Molecule: long non-coding RNA, 371 nt
Filed under: Sorghum bicolor (sorghum)
Lineage: Eukaryota; Viridiplantae; Streptophyta; Magnoliopsida; Poales; Poaceae
Description: long non-coding RNA (SBIC_LNC012165)
Source: RNAcentral
GACCUAGAUUACUUGUGGAUAUCCCCUGACUAGCUGGAUCGUGUGGUAGGCCGCGUAGGUGAUAGUUACGUUGGUCCCCUGUAGUCCACCUCUCGUUAGCAGGACGGGUAGGGUUUAUCGGCCUAAGGAUAAGCAUCCUUUGUGGUGUACUCUUAUCACGUGGUUCGUCCUAGACAUAGACAUACCCCUUUGAAGUAGAGAAACCAUAGUUAUCCUCUCUAUUCUGCUACCAUCGCCCAUAUACUAGAAUUGCUCUACUCUCUAUUCCCAUAUUAUCACUCACUGUUAUCUUACCUUUAAUAUUGUUCUUAUUCGAUUCUACCAUCUUUCCUAUUCACACCUAUUUACUUAUCUUGGUUAAGUUAGAGCGC